GAUGCAGCCAUGCCGCGUGUAUGAAGAAGGCCUUCGGGUUGUAAAGUACUUUCAGCAGUGAGGUAAGGCGGGUACGUUAAUAGCGUAUUCGUUUGACGUUAGCUGCAGAAGAAGCACCGGCUAACUCCGUGCCAGCAGCCGCGGUAAUACGGAGGGUGCGAGCGUUAAUCGGAAUUACUGGGCGUAAAGCGCAUGCAGGUGGUUUGUUAAGUCAGAUGUGAAAGCCCCGGGGCUCAACCUCGGAAUUGCAUUUGAAACUGGCAGACUAGAGUACUGUAGAGGGGGUAGAAUUUCAGGUGUAGCGGUGAAAAUGCGUAGAGAUCUGAAGGAAUACCGGUGGCGAAGGCGGCCCCCCUGGACAGAUACUGACACUCAGAUGCGAAAGCGUGGGGAGCAAACAGGAUUAGAUACCCCUGGUAG
Molecule: ribosomal RNA, 420 nt
Filed under: uncultured bacterium
Lineage: Bacteria
Description: bacterial SSU rRNA
Rfam family: Bacterial small subunit ribosomal RNA
Source: RNAcentral